This 422-nucleotide ribosomal RNA is filed under the name uncultured bacterium. RNAcentral describes it as "bacterial SSU rRNA". It matches the Rfam family "Bacterial small subunit ribosomal RNA", at positions 357 to 770 of the family's 1533-position model. The record is from RNAcentral.
GGGAAUCUUCCACAAUGGGCGAAAGCCUGACCGAGCAACGCCGCGUGAGUGAAGAAGGUUUUCGGAUCGUAAAACUCUGUUGUUAGAGAAGAACAAGGAUGAGAGUAGAACGUUCAUCCCUUGACGGUAUCUAACCAGAAAGCCACGGCUAACUACGUGCCAGCAGCCGCGGUAAUACGUAGGUGGCAAGCGUUAUCCGGAUUUAUUGGGCGUAAAGGGAACGCAGGCGGUCUUUUAAGUCUGAUGUGAAAGCCCACGGCUUAACCGUGGAGGGUCAUUGGAAACUGGUUGACUUGAGUGCAGAAGAGGAGAGUGGAACUCCAUGUGUAGCGGUGAAAUGCGUAGAUAUAUGGAAGAACACCAGUGGCGAAAGCGGCUCUCUGGUCUGUAACUGACGCUGAGGUUCGAAAGCGUGGGUAGCA